GCCACGGCCCGGAUUCUUACGGGAGGCAGCAGUGGGGAAUAUUCCACAAUGGGGCCAACCCUGAGCCAGCGACGCCGCGUGAGGGAUGACGCCUUUCGGUUGUUAACCCUUUUCCACCAGGGAGGAAGCGAAAGUGACGGUACCUGCAGAAGAAGCGCCGGCUAACUACGUGCCAGCAGCCGCGGUAAUACGUAGGGCGCAAGCGUUGUCCGGAAUUAUUGGGCGUAAAGAGCUCGUAGGCGGUUUGUCGCGUCUGCUGUGAAAGCCCGGGGCUCAACCCCGGGUCUGCAGUGGGUACGGGCAGACUGGAGUGCAGUAGGGGAGACUGGAAUUCCUGGUGUAGCGGUGAAAUGCGCAGAUAUCAGGAGGAACACCGAUGGCGAAGGCAGGUCUCUGGGCUGUAACUGACGCUGAGGAGCGAAAGCAUGGGGAGCGAACAGGAUUAGAUACCCUGGUAGUCCAUGCCGUAAACGUUGGGCACUAGGUGUGGGGGACAUUCCACGUUCCGCGCCGUAGCUAACGCAUUAAGUGCCCCGC
RNAcentral lists this ribosomal RNA (537 nucleotides) under Crystallibacter crystallopoietes. RNAcentral's name for it is "bacterial SSU rRNA". It matches the Rfam family "Bacterial small subunit ribosomal RNA", at positions 323 to 872 of the family's 1533-position model. Lineage: Bacteria; Bacillati; Actinomycetota; Actinomycetes; Micrococcales; Micrococcaceae. The record is from RNAcentral.